Molecule: non-coding RNA, 318 nt
Organism: Pelobates cultripes (western spadefoot toad)
Lineage: Eukaryota; Metazoa; Chordata; Amphibia; Anura; Pelobatidae
Source: the annotation of a GenBank genome assembly
CAAACAUUGCAAUGUAACAUGGUACAUAGCAUGUAUCUGUAGGUUGGCUGGCUGAGAGGCUUAUUGCCGGACUCUGUGGCUAUACCUUGGUAGUAGGUUGGCCAAAUUAAGUAAUGGAGGUGAGCUGUGUAUUAGGCGGUCUGUAGCCGUGCUUGAGGCUGUUCAACAAGUGCCCGCUAGUGGCAGCUCGCCAAACCUGGGGGGCCUGAGUGUCUAAUCAUUGGUCAGAGACAGUUUAGCUAGGUACAAGUGUGUAUCUAGACCAUAGGCGUGCGCAGCCAAUUGCAUUAGGGUGUGCACCCUAAAGCACAAGCACAC